Molecule: ribosomal RNA, 402 nt
Filed under: Triticum aestivum (bread wheat)
Lineage: Eukaryota; Viridiplantae; Streptophyta; Magnoliopsida; Poales; Poaceae
Description: partial small subunit ribosomal RNA
Source: RNAcentral
AUGAGCGAUGCCUCGAGGAGGUGCGUCCUCCAGAGCACCUGGUCCAUGGGGCUGACGUUGCCGAUCUUGUGGCCCCUGUUCUGGAUCCUGACGAUGGCGGCGACGCUGGACAUGAGGAUGACGGAGAGCGUGCAGGCGAGCGUCUUGACGGUGGCGGGGCCCUUGCCGGUCUUGACCUGCUCCACGCCCCGCAUCGCCAGCUCCCGCAGCGGCCCGAUCUUGACCAUGAGCAGCAGCGCCACCGCCCCCUCCGCGAACAGCACCAGGAACAGCAGCGGGAUCAUGGCCCCGUUUUCUUUACCUUUCCGACCGACCGGAUGUCAGGUCUCCUUGGAUUCCGCCCGGGAACUUAAGAAGGGGCGGGGCUUUUCAGCGGGACAACAACCACGGCGCGAGGAUUAA